RNAcentral lists this ribosomal RNA (493 nucleotides) under uncultured bacterium. Its description in RNAcentral is "partial 16S ribosomal RNA". It matches the Rfam family "Bacterial small subunit ribosomal RNA", at positions 29 to 523 of the family's 1533-position model. The record is from RNAcentral.
AUUGAACGCUGGCGGCAUGCUUUACACAUGCAAGUCGAACGGUAACAGGUUAAGCUGACGAGUGGCGAACGGGUGAGUAAUGCAUCGGAACGUGCCCGGUCGUGGGGGAUAACGCAGCGAAAGUUGCGCUAAUACCGCAUACGAUCUGAGGAUGAAAGCGGGGGACCGUAAGGCCUCGCGCGAUCGGAGCGGCCGAUGUCAGAUUAGGUAGUUGGUGGGGUAAAGGCUCACCAAGCCAACGAUCUGUAGCUGGUCUGAGAGGACGACCAGCCACACGGGGACUGAGACACGGCCCAGACUCCUACGGGAGGCAGAAGUGGGGAAUUUUGGACAAUGGGCGAAAGCCUGAUCCAGCAAUGCCGCGUGCAGGAAGAAGGCCUUCGGGUUGUAAACUGCUUUUGUACGGAGCGAAAAGGUCUCCUCUAAUACAGGGGGCUCAUGACGGUACCGUAAGAAUAAGCACCGGCUAACUACGUGCCAGCCGCCGCCGUAA